Molecule: long non-coding RNA, 1893 nt
Filed under: Fragaria vesca (wild strawberry)
Lineage: Eukaryota; Viridiplantae; Streptophyta; Magnoliopsida; Rosales; Rosaceae
Description: long non-coding RNA (FVES_LNC001412)
Source: RNAcentral
AGCUGACGAUGGAAGCUUGAACUCUCUUAUUUUCUCAUGCAUCUGGUCUGCAUUGAAGCUUUGUUGUUGCUUUUCUUUCAGGGCAUGUUGCACUAAAAUAAAAAUAGUAAAUACCAAGUUGGAGAGGCUGGUUAACAAUUGGUGGUGUAGCUAGCUGUUUGAUACUGUAAGGCCUAGUUUGGUAUAGCUUCACUUUAAAAAAAAUCAGCUUCUAUCUGAACUUUUAGAUUUUAUAGUGUUUUAUAAAUGAAAGAAAAGUAGUUUUUUUGAAAAUUACAGGUCAUUGACAUCAGUUUUUAGAAACAAUUUAAAUGUUACUUUUAAAAGCAGCUGUCACUAAAAACACUAGAAAUUAAUAAAUUUUAUUUUGGCAUCACUUUUAAAACUAAUAUUUAAUAAACACAAAACUGUUUUAACUCACAGCUGAUUAUUUUCGCAGUACAGCAACAUUAGUUUUUUUUAAAAUCACAACAAUACCAAACUAGCCCUAAUUAAGUUGUGGUCUCUGCAAGUAUUGUCAAGACCCACCCCGAAUUUCACCCUGAAACUCGAGGUAAGUCCUGCGGGGUCCACCUCUAAGGAAAAUUCACCGAAAAUUCGGCAUAAUCUACCUUGAAAAUAGACAACCCUUACCUGAAAAAUUCCAGAUACACUUCUAUAAUAAACUAUCCAACCUCAACUCUUGGAGCCUUCCUGCUCCCCAAGUUCAUAACAUCUCCCAUAAUACAACUAGCUUUAAUCAAAUUCUAACUAUCUCAAAUGGUUAUCAGAGCAUAUCUAUAAUGAAAUAAAAACAAUGAAUAAAGAAUAAGCGGAAGCAGCCUCUGACUAUGCCUCGACUCCAUGUACGCUCGACCUCAUUUAAACUUAGCCUGCAAACUGGGCAUUUAAAACCAAAGGGCCUAGGGAAAAGUAAUUUGAAACGUUAGAGUGAGUGGACGAAAAAUAAAUUAAAUAACUUAACUAAAAACAUAUAUAAUUUAUAUACUUUCCCAUGUUUCAACUUUAAAACUUGGUUGCACGCAACUUUGAACGUCCUUAAAACUUUAAAUCCAAAUUCACUUAAUACUGGAUAAACCAGCUCAGCUGGUUAAAUAAAAUAGAAAUCUCAAAAUGAGGGAUAAACUAGCCCCGCUGGUUAAUCAAUUAUAUAACUGAGAAAAAUAAAUAAGGGGAAGAGUUAUCACCAUGUAAAAGGAGCCUCCCAAGCUCGGGUCGAUGCCUCCCAGGCUAUAAUAGCGUCCCACGCUAACCACGCUAAGCGCUCAACUCACAUAUGAUGAGGACCGCUAAAUAAGGCUAUAACAGCGUCCCACGCUAAGCGCUCAACUCACAUAUGAUGAGGACCGCUAAUAAGGCUAGCUAACUAAUAAAUAUAAAUACCGAUCGGUUGCCUCCCAGGCUAUAAUAGUGUCCCACGCUAAACGCUCUACUCACCUAUGGUGAGAACCGCUAAUAAUGGUUAGUUAGCAAUAAUCAAUAUAAGCGACCCUAUAUUAUGGUGAUUAAAACAUACGAAGUCACUUAAAUCCAUUAAACUUCCCCAAUAUCAAACGAAUGGUACGGUUCCCAACCGUACUUGAAAAUCAUCAUAAGAAAUUAUAUUAAAACUCAAUGAUGUGUCUCACACGUCAAAACAUUCUCAAAUUUAUAAAUAUAAGCGAGAUUUCAAUAUCAAAUAUAAAUCAUAAAUAAUAAUAUCUCCACUCGAAAAUACUCGCUAAAAUAUUCUCCAAGUCAAAAUCAUUAUGCCUCAAAUAAACAAUUAAAUUAUGAUGGAGAACUACCGAAAAUCCCAUUUUCGGUAAUCAUUUAUAAAUCUCGAAGUCAUCAAAAUAAAACCGAUAAUAUUUUAAAUCCGGAGUCAUAAAAAAUAUCAAAACUCAAAUAUCA